This 253-nucleotide ribosomal RNA is filed under the name uncultured bacterium. RNAcentral describes it as "partial 16S ribosomal RNA". It matches the Rfam family "Bacterial small subunit ribosomal RNA", at positions 524 to 776 of the family's 1533-position model. The record is from RNAcentral.
UACGAAGGGUGCUAGCGUUGUUCGGAAUCACUGGGCGUAAAGCGCGCGUAGGCGGCCUGUCAAGUCAGGGGUGAAAUCCUUGGGCUCAACCCAAGAAUUGCCUUUGAAACUGGCAGGCUAGAGACUCGGAGGGGAUAGCGGAAUUUCUAAUGUAGCGGUGAAAUGCGUAGAUAUUAGAAGGAACACCGGUGGCGAAGGCGGCUAUCUGGACGAGUACUGACGCUGAGGCGCGAAAGCGUGGGGAUCAAACAGG